RNAcentral lists this long non-coding RNA (31648 nucleotides) under Eucalyptus grandis. RNAcentral describes it as "long non-coding RNA (EGRA_LNC004715)". Lineage: Eukaryota; Viridiplantae; Streptophyta; Magnoliopsida; Myrtales; Myrtaceae. The record is from RNAcentral.
AGGUCGCACUCCUCACCCCAGAACUGAAAAUGCACGGCCGCAGUCUCAUCUGCCACAAGUGCCAAGCAUGUCUUGCUCUGUCCUUCUGUGGCAACCCUGCCUUUGUCCAAUAGAAUGAAUUGUGUGGUUAUGUUGUUCUGUGCUGCAGGUGAUAUGUCUUUGAUAGAGAGCAUACUGGCGUAACCUUAAAAAGAGAAGAUACAGAGUCACUGAAACUAUAUGACCAAGAAGUUAAAAGAAAACUACAAUACGAAGGCAACCUUAUAAUACUCACUUUGGAAUGAACUUGUCAUAAGCACAAACUAGGGAGUUCUAUGCAAUAAAGAUGAGUUUUAGUUCUGGAAGAACAGAACAACAAACUAUUUCUCACUGCAGACAGGCUUCUUUCAGUCUCAACUCAACCUCAAACGACCAGAAACGUGGUCGGCCGUGCCUCCGAAACACCGCCUGGCCCCGAUCUGAACAGAGGAGCGGACGGCAGGAUUUCCGACCUGAACAGAGGUGAGGUGUCAGGGCCCGACCCGACCGGAGGUGUGGUCGACGACGACUCCGAAUCACCAACAGGCCCGGAUCUAACCAGAAGACCAGUCGGGUACACGUCUCAAGCUCCACCAAGCCUCGGUCCGACCAGAGGGGCUGUCGGCUGCAGCUCCGGAACCCAGCUGCGAGCUUCCCCGACACGCGGAGCUGUAGCUUGCAUCUGCCGCGACUCCUCGGCAGGAUUAUAGAUGGGUUUGCCAAAUCAAUGGAGGCUAACUCAGCAGAACAAGCAACGGCAGCAGCCUUGGUUUUUUUUUUUUUUUUUAAGGCAGCAGCCUUGAUUGAAACCUAGAUUUUAUUUCCUUAAACCUUGCCCUGAACAAAACAAGAAGAGAGAUGCAAGUACACCCUGACUGCAGUAGGCUCGUGGAAAGUGUUCUCACUUUGGUUGGCAAUCAUUAUAAGUUUUAAAAUUUAUAAUACAUUUUUCAUAAUUUAUUCAAUUGAUUGAGUGCUAAAGUUUCCACACAAUGUUCAUUUGAGUAUUAUAAUUAUCACUUCAAUACCAUUAUUGUGUGACAUGGUGCUCGUGAUGAAUGUUUUUCAAAAGUUAUAUCACUCUCACAAUAAAUUGAAAAGUUAAGAAAAUCAAGUGAAAUUCUUUUAAAGUCAUGAACUCGAUUGAAAAGUUAGAAUACUCAUGUAAAUACCGUACGGAAAUUAUGACACUUAAAAUGUCUUUUAUUUUCAUAAAUAAAUCAAAGUAAUUUGGACCAUGGAAUUCUAGGACCUUUCCGCCUCAAAGCAUUUCAAGCACCUCGAACUGUCGAUUUCGCAUAGGACCAAAGUACAUGUGUAACUCGAUUAUGGUUAGAAGUUGUAUGCACAUUAGUUCCACAAUCCAGUGAAAUUAUUUUAAAGUCACGAUACUUAAGUGAUCAAUGGUUAGAGCGCUUAUUUAAAUACCGUAUGAAAUUAAUAUGAUACUUAUAAUACUCUUAUUUCCAUGAUUAGAUCGAAUUUGUUUGGACCAUGAAAUUCCAGGACCUCUCCGUCUUAAAGCAUUUCAAGCCGUCCCAACUGUCGAUUUUGUUGGUUUCAAGCCGUCCCAGAUCGAGUAACUCGAUCUGGGUCAGAAGUUGUAUAAAGUUUAAUUCCACAAAUAGCAGUUUCAGUAUCCAUUAAUACACCUCAUCUUGCAGGAGACCAAUGCGGAGAAGAAUCCUGAAUACCGUUGGCUUGUUGUAAAAUUUCGAGAAUGGCAAACUGGAAAUGAAAGAGUUGAGAAUGGCCGAGGCGUAUAAUGGCCAUCCUCAAAAGUAAAAUUCCACCGUUCAAAAAGUACAGAAGGUGUGUCGCGGCUAUCUUUGGGAAUUGACAGACCUUGUUAAUAGUGUACCCCACACCAUUUAGGUAAAGAAGGAAUAGCAUGAAAUGCAUAACCAUCGCAGAGCAAAAGAAACAAGUAUUUCUGUGUGAAAAUUUUCAGGUGCAUAGAUUUGGGCAUAUCAAAUAGCGAACAAAGAGGUUGGUAUUUGUAGAAGAAAGACGGGAGUAUAUAGGCAUCAGCUAGUUUGACUAAGAAUAAAUGUCACCACGGCUUGGGUAAUAACUAAGCAAUGGCUAGCACAUCAAAUUAGCAUAGGCCAGUAGAAGGUCAGCAAUGGUCGAAGGUCACGUCUAUGGGUAUUAGAUUCAGUGCAAAUAGACAUUUUGAAAUACACUUCACAUAACAAUCUCCCACAUACUUCAGAAGUUAUCCUGAAGAAGAGAAAGAACAAAUGCUGGUUUCAUAGUGGAGUGCAAUACAAUCUGGUGUCUUUUGGUCUAUGAACCAGACUUAGAAAUAAUGCGACAUACCUUACAGAACCAAUGAUGAAGCUUAUGCCUUCUAUGAACCAAGGUUGUAGGUUAAAGUCCUCACUCAUCACUCUACACCCUCACAAUAUUUGCCGUCCAACUUGAGUAUGUGCUAAUAGGCCGUUCGCACAGCUGGUUACUCAUGAGUGCUAUAAAGAUUCGGCAAUAAAUCCCUUAAAAGUGAACCCAUUCCACACUCGUAUAGGUGUUCCAUCAAGUGUACAAUUCAAUAAUUACACUAUCCAUAACAUUUUGGAAUUCAUUAAGAACUUAACCCAUUCUCACUUAAUAUGCAAUUUAGCACCAAUCACAUACAUCAUAGGAAGGAGGGACUUUGAAACAUUUUUGGUGCUAUAAGAUCAACAAAAAGGCUAGCUAUAAGCCAUACGAACCUACUUCAUGGGAUCUCCACUACAUUACCUAUAUAUUAGUUGGGUUACUGCCAUCAUAGAUAUCUCAAAUUGGCAUGAAUCUCAUUCCUCUCGAUGUUUCAAUUAUUUGUUUUCUUCUAGAAAUUUGUCAGAAAAUUGGCCAAAUCUCCUUUCGACUUCAACUGAUUGAAUCAAUCUAAAUCCAUGCUAAAGCAACUGCUUCAAGAAAUAAUGUUUCAAUGGAAUUUGUCUUCUCUUGUCAUUGUGUGCUUUAUCUUUAGCAACGGCUAUUGUAGUUUGGCAAUUAGAGCGCAUGGACACAUACGUUGUUGGUUUCAUGCACAACAAAAGUUCUGCUAGGAAAUCCCUCAACCACUCGUUCUCACUACUUCCCCACUCGAGCUUUAAACUCCGAGUCAAAAGUGGAUUUUUAAAGAUUAGAUUGUUCAGCUGAUUUCCAAGACACUACACCACCACCAAGGGUGAAUCAUAACCGCUAAUAGCUUCGUCUCAUUUGAACUUGAGAGCGAAAUAGCAUCACCGUAUCCUUCUAACUUAACACAAAGCCCCUUAUUAUACCAAGUACGAUAACUAUAUCAUGAAUGUGUGAAAACUGGCUAGUGACUCAUCCCCAAUUAUAUACCAAGUACGAUAACUAUAUGAUUUUGGAGGCAUGAAUACACGCUAUAUGUUCCCCGCUCUAUAGGAUGUGUCAUGACAUAGUUUUCACAUGCCUCCAAUCACAAUCGUAGCUAUAGUUUUAUCUUGAUAAAUGAGGAAUCCCUAAUUAUAUGGCUAAAGCCCAUAUCAUAUGCAAACAUGCAUUAUGUCACAACAAGUCAUAUAAUAUACAUUUACAUCAGAUCACACACACACACACACACACACACACACACUCAUAUAUAUAUAUAUAUAUAUCUAAUUUAAUAUAUACAUAAAUAUUUAAUUAAAUAUAUAUGUUCAUUUCACGUUGUAAAACAAACAAGCCCAAUCAUGCACUUUUCUAAGUUCAUAUACUAUCUUCAAUUUGGCAACAAAUAUUCGGCUUUGUUCUCAUAACAGAUAUGUCCAAUUUAAGCAAGGUCGGUCUCAUUGAAAAGAUAAGACGGCAUAUUAAACAAACCAAUUCAUUCCCAACUUGAUGUAAGGUCAGAAAUUAGUUAAUAUUCAUCACGAACAGUACAACGCGGUACUGUUCCCCUCAUGCACCGCCAGCAAAGAUUUAUAUCUCGUUAACUGUAACUCCAAAUUGAGAACCAUAACUUACUACAGAACGCUAAUAAAAACUAGAUGAAAUAUCACAAAAAUUGAAACAAGCCUACAGAGAUGCCUGUGAAUACGAUUUUGCCCCUGAUAAGUAAAUACCUCAAUUGCUUGACAUUUCCACUUCAAUUAGGUGGGGUAGUAGAGAUUGAGAGAGCCAUGAAAUUUCACUUGCUAAUCUAGCAUGCCACAUAUCAACUGAGUAAAUCAAGUGAUAAUGUUUCUGUAGUUCAUUUGUGUACCUCCUUUAGUGCUGGUUUUCCUGCGCCAAAUCAAUUAUGGAAGUCAUUUCCUUUGACUUCAUUGCGUGUGGCUUCUUGCUGAUGGCGUUUUCAAGAUGAUGUGUUAGCUUCGAAGAUGUUGGUGUCUUUUGAUUACCAAACACUCAAUUUUGAAGAUAUUCAAUAAAGCCUUUGUGUACGGCAUGGUCGGGACGAUAGGCACAGCAGUAGCAACAGAGGACGAUGGCACCACAGCAUGAGUAUUGGGUCAACAGCUCCAGUAGGAAGGGGAAAUCAGUUCCAGCAGCAACAUCUAAAGAGAGCGAAUUUUAUCCUUGAGAUUGUUUUGAAAUUUCAAAGAAGGCGAAUUGGAAAUGUGGAAAUUGAAAAUGUCUGAGGGGUGCAAGCACCAUCCUCAAAGAUAAGUUGUGCCCUUUGCAAAGUGUGUUGUGGCUCUCUUUCAGAAUUCAACAGACCUUCUAUAUAAUGUGCACCUCACUAUUCAGACGGCAUACGAUCAACAUGAAUGGCGAAACAUUUAGGGAGCAAAAGCAAAGGGUAUUCAGGCGAGCAAAUGUUUGGGUGCAUAAAUUUGGGCAAAUCGAAGAAAGAAGUGGUUGGUAUUUAUAGAGGAAAGAAGGUGUACAUGGGUAACGGCAAGUUCGACUAAGGAUAAAUACUGCAACGGCUAGUAAGUAACUCAAGCAACGACUAGCUCAUUCAAUAAGCAACGACCAGUAGAAAGUCAACAAUGGUCAAAAGUCAGUUGCAUGUACAUUUGAUUUUAUUGUAUAUAGACUUUUUGAAAUGCAUAUGCAACAUGACUACAGUUGAGUUAUAAAAAAAAUCGAGAAACAUUAUGUCAUUAUACUAGAGAAUUUCUUUGACAAAAGGAGCAAAUGAUCAUGCCACAAAAAGGGAAAUUUUCCAUCGGCAAUAAGAUGGUUUAUACAUGAAGAUUCCAGCAAUGUUCUUCAAGUCUUGGAUAAAUUGAAAAUGGAAGAAGCAUUAGAUGGAACAGAUGGACUCCAGGAGGAUUUAUCCUUCAAAUUGUCGUAAUUUAGCCAUAAACCCCAAACAGAAACAGCUUGAGUAUAUGACAUAAGCUUUAUUCCAUCAUAUAACCCUUCUAAGACCAAGUAUUCGAUUUGAAAUCCCACAGGAAAAUAGCUCUGUUUGAUUUGGUUAAUCCUAAAACCAGAUAUAGCUUUGAAACUUGCUGAAAGUAGACGGAACUUAUAAAGAAUGUACAUCACCAUUCAGAAACAUCACAAGGUCCUUAGCAAAAAGCAUAAGUGCCUAAAGUGAAUUUCACAACAACAGACUGAAACUUCAAACUCCCUCCAGUAGCAGUUGCUCUAACAACUUUGAUAGGACCCCAAUAGCAAUCCCCGAGAAAAAAGGCGAGAGAAGGUCAUCUUGUCAAAGACUUCUUUUUUCUAUAAUCCAGGAGUACAGGUGUGAAGGCUUGGCUAUCGGAAGGCCUAUGAAAUAUCUUGUAGGCCUAUAAGGGGUUAGGUUAAGGUUUUCGGUUUAUGUAGAUGGAAUAGUUUUGACGCAAUUGGUGGGCUUUGAAUGGAUGAUCUCUAGUUGUUGAGCUAAAAAUCCUUUAAUGCCACAAACAAUUGUGCUAGCUUUUCUUUUUCCAGAAGAAUUAGUGGCUAACUCACUAUUUACACUGACCGAGAAUACACACAUUUUUCUUUUGAAGCUAUGAAUUGAGGGGGAGCUCCAAUGGCAUGAAAAAUUAUUAACAAAAAGCUACCGAUUAUUGAAGGCAUUUGUACCUGACAUGAAAGGACAACUAAUAACCGCAUGCACGUGACGGUGUUGUGGUUUAUUUUCACAUAACUAUAGAGUUCCGGAUAAUCAAUUCAUUACAUCCACUAUUGCCUGUCCAAACACGAUAUUUGAGAGCAUCGCUCGCUUAAGCUCGGAGGUAGUGGUGAAUCUUGGAAAAAUGAUUUUUUGGAAAUAGUCCUCCCGAUCUAUAUAUCUUAGAUCAAAGCGGAAGACACUUUCCAAGUCCACUCCGUUCUCUAUGAUUGUGCCUUUUAAAGCUUUUAUAUUCGUAUCAUGGAACCUGGUUGGUUUAGAAAAUGAAAGAGAAAACAAAAAUGAGAUUUCUGUUGGAAUAUAAUACGCAUAAACGAUAGGAUCUUCCAAUUUACGUCAACGCAAAAUAGGAUACCACAAAUUUACGUAGUUUGGUUUGAGUAUCGGUACCUAUGCCCAUAGAGAGAGCCAGUGGCAAAUAAUCCAUUAUAAUCGGAGAAUCAAAGUUUACAAUUGCUCACAAGUCCAAAUUCAAAAUGGUCAUAAAUAAAUAACUCACUUGGAUAUAAAUUCACUGCACAAAAUUAUCACACGUUCAAGCUCAAAACAAAAUGCUCUACGUACGCUAAAAUCAAAAACUCCAACUUUCAUCUUUGAUCCGUGUACAUAUAGCUUCGCGUGGCUUCAAAAAAUUUGCUGCUCUUCUCAAGCGGCGUGGACGUGCUAUGACAUCCUGAAUUUCUCAACCUGUUUUUUACUGAAUUAAUCGGGCAUUUCGUUGACGCGUUUAUAGGGCUAUUUUCAGAGCCGAUCACUCUUGAGAUAAUUAGAUUGUCUGGGUAAGUAAUUAAGAAAUUUUAGGGCAAUAAACUUGAGAAUUCGAUCAGGAAUCGGCUUCUCGACCGUGCUCAUCUUUAGAGGCAAUUGCAGCACAGUUAAAAACCGAUUUAAGACCAGAGAUAGGCCUGGUCGACUGAGAUGUGUGGCCGAUCGUGGGUGACUCCACUAAAUUGGAAAAUUCUCGUCGACCGACACUAAUAUGAUUUUACUUUCAUUUUGGUACCUUGUGUCUGUAUUUAAAUCCUCGAGAUUUUCACGACAAUCGAGAGUCGCCAUUAAGUUGAAUGGGUUCAUAGUGGUUCGAAGAAAAUCAACUAUGGGUCAUUUGCCUUAAAAAGUUCUGAAAACUACCCGAUAGUCUAGGUCACGCUAAAAACACGCCGAAUGAAAAUUAACCGCCAGUUCGAGUCUGAUUUCAGAAAUUGAAGUUUCGGCCAUGUCACAAUAAAUUCUUGGAGUGUCGACUCAAUCUCAAAAGAUUUUUCUAACAACUGACACUUUUGGGAAAAAGUCGUCGCCAGGUUGUUUUAGUGCAGAAAAUGCCGGAGAUGGUUUUCGGUCGCAAAAUUUAGAUGCAAGAUGGGUUAUUGGAUAAGGAAAAAUAGCAAUUGAGGCAUUGAAGCAUUGAUUGAUUUUAUGAGAGCCGAUUGAUAUCGAAUUGAGGGAGAUUUGAUGAGCAAUUGGAACCUUGCGCUAAGAAAUUCGUAUGCCCCACAAGUGGUGACUUUUGGACCAACUCAACUCUCUAGAAGGGGUAGAUUGGGCUGAAAAUCUGUUGGUGGGUGCUAGCCAUAUGGAGGGAUAAGAACAAAUGAUAUUUGUGUGAAAAUAUCAAGUCUAAGGGGUCCCAUCAGUCAUCUCUAUCCGUUCCUUUUCCUCUCACCCUCAACUGGACAGCUAUCUCUCUCCCUCCCUACUUCGUGCGACGCCAACACCUACAGAAGACAAGAAAUCCAACUCCUUCGAUCAGUCUUUAGCAACCGAAACCCCACGUCGCCUGCUUGUCACUCUGCUCAGUCCAUGUUCCACGAAGCUGCUCCAUCUUCCAUGCCCUACGUUCGCAUAGCCACGACGUCCAGAGAAGCUAGGCGCCCUCUCCACGCGUCCACGGUCUGCAACUCCACAGUCAACAACAGCAGGUUCUCUCCAACUUGUUGACCAUCGAGUGAAGCCAGCCUCGUUCGCUCCAUCAUCUUCGGAACUACCACGAUUUCUUCUUUGCGGCUGCCAAGUCAACUCUCACCAAUUCCUCUCCAGCACUAGCGAAUCAAGUUGCGAAGCCCAUUCGGUUGACCCCAAGUAGCCACGUGGCCAAGGACAACGCUACUCCAUGAUUUCUCUCCUCGCCGCUUCUUGAAGAUCCCAGUGAAGCCGAAGCAACCGUCGACGUUGCUCCUUCCUUUUGCUCGCAUCAGUCCACGCUCGAACAAGCAGCCCACAGAUCAACCGGCUUCCAGUUGCAAUUUGUUUAGCCCAUUUGGGCCGCAAGCUAGCCUAGUCGAAUUUCACCAGUAGCAGCCCAUCAGUAGAAUUUUAUUGAGGUCCAUCUCCUACAGUCUUCAAGCCCAGUCCAGUCCAAGUAAAUUAAUUGGUCAAGCCCAAUUCCAGCAAAUCAAUUGCAGCUCAGCCCAUAGCUUGAAGCCCAUCUUCGCAGUAGGUCCAAUCCAACUUGGGUCUGGCCCAAAAGCAGGAACAAAUCUUAGUUGGGUUGAGAUUUGUUGGGCCAAGUUCAAGGCCUGAUCUAAGCCCGCCGGUAUUGUCGAAAGCCUGAUUUCGGCCGCCGUCACGGUGUCUCGGUUUUCGCGUUUAUCAAGUGAGUUUUACUCACUAAUGCUUUCUUAGUUUGCUAAUUAUACUUAAGGGUUGGUUAGAUUUAAUUAAGUGCAAUUAGGUGGUUAGAUUAGUUUAGAAUAAUUUAAUUAGUGACUUAAACCAGUGCAUGUUAGGUGGUUAGAUUUAGUCAUUAGCAAAUAGAAAGGUGCUGUUAUUUAUGGAACGAGUCUCGGUAAUUUUUUGAGCUUGUCUCGGCGUCCAAUUCAGCAUUACGGGCCUAAAUUGGAUUUUUUUUAUAAUUAAUUAUUUAAUUUUCGAAAUUAAUUAUUUAAUUAUUUAUUUUUUCCGGCAACCGAGAUGACCGGUGGCCGGACUUUCGUGCUGAUUGUCGUGGUGCAGUUCGUUUAUUUAUUUGAGCUUUAUUUGGUGCUAAAGUAAAUUAGGAGGAAUUUAAGAUUUAUUCCUAAAUUGAAUCUAGAAAGGGUCGGGUGAGACAGUAAAGCCAUUAGAUCUUGAGAGGGUCGGGUGAGACCGUAAAGCCACUAAAUCUAAGGAAUUGCUUGGUGUGGGAUGAAUGACCUAGAAAUGGUCCGACUGGCAUGAAAUCGACUAGGUCGAUUUGAUCGAUGCUUCGAUCGGUGAUGUGAUUGUUUGAGUACUUAUUGAACUGUACUAAUAUGCAGAUGGAAUCUAAGGUCAAGGUAAGUCCUCUGACUCGUGCUGUGCUUAAGCAACCGAGUAGUGUAUUGAUUUACUAAUCAAGUCUUAGGGAGUAGAACUCGCUGAAACGUGGUCUCAUUGGUUAUUGAAUAACAAUUUCAGGACCUUGAGGAGAAGCUGAGGAGGAGUAACCUGAAGGGGAGAAGGACUUUUGAAGAAGAAGAUGAUCCAAAGAGGGAUCUUGAGUAUAACCCGGAUGUGGAUUAAGAUUCCAUCCCUUUUGUAAACCCUGUCUUAGUGUAGAUAGGUGUGAGACAAGUGCGUUGUGCAUAGUAUUGUAAAUAUACUAGGAGUUGCGUUAUUAAUCAAAGUGUGGUUGUGAAUUUCAAUAUUAAAAAAUAUGACAUGCUUUCUAUCCCAUUGUUUUAUUAUCUGGGGAUUUAUAACUGCUUCUGCAUGUGCUUAAUAAACGAAAGGGCCGGCGAUAUUUAGUCCUGGGAUAUCGCACACUUUAAAAUCGACCAACAGAAGGAUGGGCGUGUCCCGAGGAUCAGGGCGUGACACGUGCAGCUCCUUCUGCCUUUUAGGGCUUCACGUCACUUUUUCCAACCAAAAACGUAACGCCCUUUUAUAUGUGCGCGUGCGCCCAAGGUCAAUAAUUUGACCUGGGCCACCACUUUUGAUACUUCAACGUAACAAGGUUAUGCACGAUGAAAAAAAAAACCUUUGUUAUAUUUUUAUUUUUAUUUCCUUUUUUUUGCAGCUCUAAGGAAUCCAAAGAAAGAAGGGUUUUUUAUUUUUAUUUUUUUUAUCCAAUUUGAAAUCUCCUUGAAAAAUCUUUAUCAAUAAAUUCGAUUUAAUAAAUCAUUAUUCAAAUUCAAACUUGAGAUAUAAAUUAACAAUUUUGGUGACGACUAAAAUUUUCAUUUUGUAUAGUCACUACUUUAUUUAUUUGCCAUGAUUUUUUGUGAAUUUAUCAAUGAGUUGAUCGCAAAACUAAGGCUUACAUGCCCUUGAACUAUGCGUAACGUGCUGCUCGUAUUGCGUUGUGGAUAUUCCUUUUUAGGUCGGUUUGCAAGCUGUGGAAACCAUUUUGCUCCUGCAAAAUAUGACAAAAAAUGUUAACAAACUCAUUUAUAUCGAUAGCUAUAUGGUGCGAACAUAAGAUCUUUCACUGUGACUAUGCCUCUGACUUUUUAAGCUGCGUCGCAUUAGAAAGAUAAAAUUACUAUUAUUAUUAUUUUCUUUUUGGCCGACACAUGUUCAUAAUCCACACGUGAUCCAACGACAGCGUGAAAUAUGGUGAGAGAAACAAACUUUGUAGAUAAAAGCAACAUCUUCACGUCUGUGAAGGUUUUUGCGUCAAACACUAGGCGGACCAUUAAAUGUUGCAAAAAGUGUAUGUACGUACAAUGUAUCGGCAAUGCUAUUUAGUCAUAAAGCUCGAAAUUUGUCUACAUAAUUUUUUUUAAUCAUGGAUAGACCUAGUUAAUAAACUAGGGCCGACCUAAUGAGUAAUACGAUUUUAUGACCGAUAGAUGACUACGUCAAAAAGUCACUCUGAUCGAAUAAUUAUUUGACUGAAACAUAAAUCGAUUAUUUGAGAACCGCAGUCCGACAACGUUUCCUCAAGGAAAAGAGCAGUUAGACAAUAGCACAGUGCAGUUGUGCACCUACUUUUUGCUAUUUAAAAUCCCACAAACCUUCUGACCAAAAGAAAAGAAAAAUCCCAUCAACCCUGACACAGGUCCACAUAAUAGAUACCAAACUAACAGCUAAUGCAAUUAAUUGAAAAGCCAACUACCUCAUUGAAUAAAUGGGGACGAUAGGAACAAACUAAUUGAUAAUGACAUUAAUAAUAUGGAGUUCCAUCAUCUUAAUUGCAUUGGUCAUUUACCCAAAAGGAGGAAAAACUAUCAUCAAUGCCCAAGCCUAAAAAACUAAGCAUGGAUUACCCUAUUCCUACAAAAUGUUGAAAAUGAGGAAGAUUGCGUUGAAGGGAUAAGGACUUUUAAAAUCAUUUGUCAAUAUGUGCAAAUGCAAUUGCAUUUCUCUACCUUUUUAUUGGUCAAGAAACAUAAAAGGGCACCAAUGGAAUGCAAUCCCCAGUUGUGCAAGAUGAAAUUAAAGAAAGUUGGGUCAAGGGAGAUAGCUGAACUGAAAAAUUCCAGAUUGAAAAGCUCUAAAGGUAUUUGCUAAUCAAUUGGCGCCAAUUACUUCUUUUAACAAUAAAAGUGUAAUACCUCUAGUCUCAAAUAAGAUGAAAGAUGGCUCGUGAUGUUAUUGCCACUUCAAAUGGUUUCCAUCCCUUUGACUAAAAGAAAAAAAAGAUGGUUUCUAUCUCUAGUGGUCACGUUCGGAUACUUCUUUUGAUGGGUUACGUUAUUUUGUCGAACAAUAUUAGGAUACAACGUUUUUUCAGCAUAUAUUUGAUUCGAUCUAUUCAAUGUGGGGUUCUAGGAAGGAUUGAAUAGCAGCUGUGCAUAAAUGUUUUGACAGCGACAGACGUGCGGACCCCUGGAGUGCCAUAACUUAUGAAAGGUACACUUAAGUGUCAAAAUCGGAGUAAAAUGGAUUACUUGAGUGCCAAUUCGGCCAAAGUCCGGUCAAAAGGCUGAUGUGGCAUUUUUCCGGUGAAGCGAGCCUAAAACGAUGCCGUUUUGCAUGCUGACGUGGCCAAAUAAUGCAAAAACGGCGUCGUUUUGAGCUGACAUGGUAAAAAAAAUAUAAAAAUUAAAUUUAGUUAAAAUAUUAAAAAAUAAUAAUUUUAAAAUUAAAUUUAGUUAAAAUAUUAAAAAAUAAUAAUUAUAAAAUUUAAAAAGGGGGAGGUGGUUGAGGGCCGCCGCUUCCCCGUCAUUGCCGGGAAGGGCCAGUGACGGAGGGGGGAGGGUCGGUUGCGGUCACCGGCGGACCGGCGACGAGGGUCGGUGGCCCUUGCCUGGCUGAGCCAAGGGCCGCCACUCGUCGAGGCAACCCCCAGCGGGCGGCGGCCCUUGGCUUAGUCGGGCGAGGGCUGCUGACGCUCGCCGGAUCUGGGUGAGGGCCACAACCCCUCGCCACUCGCUAGAUCUGGGUGAGGGCUGCAACCCUCGCCUCGAUCUGGGGCGAGAGCUCGCGAGCCCUCGCCGCCGGUCGGCCGGGGUCGUUGGCCCUUGGCCAAGGGCCGGUGACCCCGGCCAACCCUCCCCCCUCCGUCGCUAGCCCUUCCUGGCGACGGCGAGGAGGCAGCGGCGGUAGCUGAGGGCCACCACCCCCCUUUUUUAAUUUUUUUUAAAUUUUAAAUUAUGAUUUUUUAAUAUUUUAACUAAAUUUAAUUUUAAAAUUAUUUUUUUUAAUAGUUUAGUUUAAUUUAAUUUAAUUAAUUUUUAUAUUAUUUUUUUACCACGUCAGCCCAAAACGACACCGUUUUUGGAUUAUUUGGCUACGUCAGCGUGCAAAACGGUGUCGUUUUGGGCUCACUUCGCCGGAAAAAUGCCACGUCAACCUUUUGGCCAGACUUUGGCUGGAGUGGCACUUAAGUGAUUCGUUUUUCUUCGAAUGUGGCACUUAAGUGUACCUUUCGUAAGUUAUGGCACUUAAGUGUCCCUUUGUGCAAAGUUAUGGCACUUGAAGCGUUCUUUUACCGACAGCGACAUUACAUGUGGUGUUCAGUUGGGUCCAUAUACUAGAUAUCAAAUUAACAAUCAAUACAAUCGCUUGAAAUAGCUAACUACUCACUGAUUAAAAUGAGGGAGACAUUGGCCAAAAUAAAUAAAGAAGAAGAAACACAACCGGGGGGGGGGGGGGGGUUCUUUUUUGGGAUCUCUCACUCUCUCUCUCUCUCUCUCUCUAAAAAUAGGCACACAAGAAUCCAAAGUGAGAAAAGUGGUCUGGAGCUUCUUCUUCGGGGGCGGUUUGGCCCUUUAACCGGGGAGGGACGUCUUCUCUUUGCAAUGGUAAUGUUGACGUACCAAAAAGUCAUUCUGAUCAAAGAGAUAAUACUAUAUUAAUUUCAACCGGUGAAAAACGACAUUGGUAGGCAUGAUAAAAAUGCAGCUAUAUAUGGAGCCUUUGUGCCUCAGUACUUAAGUCGCUCUUCAAGUUCCCCCUAGCUCUUGUUCAAAGACUCUCUGGUCCAUUUCGGUUCAAAUAUGGGGAUGGAUAUUGUCCAAUUUCUUGAAAACAAGACCAUCUUAGUCACGGGAACCACUGGCUUUCUCGCAAAGAGUACUCUCUCUUUCUCUCUUUCUCUCUCUCUCUCUUUUCAUGUAUGAAGUAUACUUAGUCGCCAAUUGCCAUCGAUUGACCAUCUUUUUGCUAACUAUUAUUUAUUAUGACGGGUUAGUUUUUGUGGAGAAGAUCCUUCGGAUUCAACCAAAUGUCAAGAAAAUAUACGUUCUUAUCAGAGCUAUGGACAAACAAGCAGCGAUACAGAGGUUGCAUGAAGAGGUAGAGAAUCAAACUCUAAAUUAUCCUUGGAUGGUUAGAUCCACUUUUUGUUCUAAAUUGACUAGAAAGAAAAGGCACACAUAGAUGUGUGUUGAAAAAAUAAUAAAAAUAAUAAUUAUUAAGGCUCCGUUUGUUUCUCGAAAAAUGAAUGAUUUGGAAAAUAUUUUCCUGCAAAUAAUUGCUUGUGUCGCUUAUGAGAAUGAAUAAAUUAAAUAUAUUUUCAUUUUCUAUGAAAAUAGAAGACAUAAAUUGUUAUUGAAGAUGAAAACUUUUUUUUUAUUGACUAAUUUUUUUUUAAGCUAUAUAUAAAUGAUCAUUUUUUUGGAUAGGUAUAUUCCAAAUUAUUCGUUCUUCGCUAAAUAAAUAGAAUCUACGGGAAGAAAAUUAAGAGAUUUGUGUUUUUUCAGGAAAAGAACUUGAGUCGUUACAAGAGUAGCCGUACAAUGGUCUAUCCAAUAGAUGGUACAAUCACUUAGGCGUGUAAUUUCGAAUUAAUUCUACUCUAUUUAACAUGGAAAAUAAAGGCAAAGGAAGAAAAAGAAUAUGAAAACUAAGAUAAAAGACAAAAUUUCCUUCAUGACAACUCUCAAUCUUUUCACGUCGCAAACAGCUCAUAGAGAAGAAGUUAUUUGACAAUUUGAGGGAAGAGUGGGCAGAGAAUUUCAACUCAAUUGUGGAGAAAUUGUCUCCGAUUCCUGGUGACGUUUCUUGCGAGAAUUUGGGAGUACAUGAUUUUGAUUUGAGGUUCGGCCGCGACUACCAAAUUCGACGAAAGGUACGUGAUUACAAUCUUGCCCUCCCCGCCCAAUUUAAAAUUAGUUAAGAGAAUUCGUGGCUUUUCCCUCAUCCUAUUUUGAGUUUAUUGCCAUCUUUCUCCCGCAGAUAUGACAUUGCGCUAGCCGUCAAUGUAUUUGGAGCUAAGCAUGUUGCUGAAUUUGCUGUAAGAUGUGUUAACAUAAAGAUGCUACUUCACAUAUCAACUGGUUUGUGUUUUUUCGAUUGUGGUUGCUCUUGAUAUUUUUGCUAUGUAAAUUAGCAGAUGAUAGGUUCUAUUUCACCACCUGCUUAUUUAAAAAGUAGUUUGCAUUGACAUUGUAUCUUAUGGAACCUUUUAUUUUCAGCAUAUGUAUGGGGCAAUAUGACUGGAAUUAUACGAGAAAAGACAUUUAGUAUGGAUGAGACGCUCAAUGGGUCAAGGAAGUUGGAUGUGAAUGAAGAGAAACUCUUGGUUGAAGAAUUGAUGAAUGAACUUCGAGAAAAGAACGCUUCAAAAAGAGAAAGCACCAUUGCUUUAAAGAUUUUGGGCUUGCAAAGGUUUGCUUUUUAUUGAUUGAAUCUUAAACAGUGAAAUUAAUAAUUAGUUGAAAUUUCAUCUUUAAUUGUGUCUCUCAAACCUACGCACCAAGUUAGACCACUACCUCAAGCUCAGAUUACUCAAUCAUCAUUUGUAAAGUUGAUGGUAUCAUAUGGCAAAAUUACCAAUUUUUUUUCAAAUUUAUUGCAAUCGUGUCAAUUUAGCUUUAAAUCAUUUUUUUUUUUUGGGCUAAUUGAGUUAAAAACCUUUUAUAUUUGUGUCAAUUUAGUCAAUUAGAUCAAUUUUGGUUGAAAAUCGCUAACAUGGAUACUACCCUCCUAUAUGGUUUAGCCAGCACUGAUGCAUACACUUUUUAAUAUUUUGAUUUAUUUUUGCUUUGAUUUAUUUUUUCUUUUCUUCCCUUCUAUCUCUAGUUGGUUGUCCUUGCCAAGGGCAACUAGCCACAAGAAGAAGGAAGGACCCCCCCCCCCCCCCCAAAAAAAAAGAGAGAAAGAAAAGAAAAAAAAGAAAAAAAAUAAUUUUUUAAAAAAUAUUAUUAAAAAUGUAAAUAAUGGAAUUGAUGAUUAAGUUAGUUAAAAAUUACAUCUUUAAUUGUGACUCUCAAAGCCAAGCAUCAAGUUGGACUGUUACCUCAAGAUCGGCUUACUCAAUCAUCAUAUCUAAAGUUUUUUUUUUUUUUUGGUUGAAAUUAUAUCAAAAGUUGAUUGUAUAAUAUUGAUAUUCUUUUCAUGAAAAUUUGGGUCGUAAAAAAUGUUUUUGGUUGGACUUGAAGUUUUGGUGGUAAACUCUUUACAAGGUGCUUGACCAUAAUAUUCAGAACUAAAACAAGAGUUAGGUAGUUAAAAUAUGUCUGAUCAGUCAAUUCAUUUGUAUAUGGUUGUACUAUUAUAUUAUAAUCUUCAGCAGUUCUUAUGAUAUUCAUUAUAAUUGAUGUGCAGGGCAAGGCUACAUGGUUGGCCAAACACAUACACUUUAACGAAGGCAAUGGGGGAAAUGAUGGUGCAGCACCAUCUGAAACAAAAUAUACAACUUGCUGUUAUGAGACCCACAAUUAUAACAAGUACUUAUCGAGAACCUUUUGCUGGUUGGAUUGAGGGUUUCCCUCCCAGGUUAUCCUUCACAAAUCUCUCUCUCUCUCUCUCUCUCUCUCUCUCUACGUGGUUUGACAUUGAACUCCUAAUUUUACCAAUAAUUUCCAAAUCUUACAUAAUCACUCAUUUUAAAUUUCUAGCGUCACCUAUGACAUUAUUUUUUGGGAGUAAUAUCAUAUGUGGUCCCUGAAUUGUUAUUUGGUGUUCAAUGCACCUCAGUUUUUGAAUUGAAUUAAAAAAAGUGGAAGAACUCUAUUGAACUCCGAACCAAAGUGAAGGGACUACUCAAGUAUUAUUACCUCCUGGUUCUUCGCAAAAUGCAAGUUGUUACUGAACAAGAAAAUCAAGAAACAUAUCUACAUCUGUUUUUUAGUCUAGUUGCUAAAUAGCAAUACAAGAUCAUAAAGAAAUCAGAUAGACUUGCGCGGGCGGGUCUACUAAUGAACACACCAUCUUUUCGAGGAAGUUAAACCUUUAGAGGAGGGUAAACAAUGAAUAAAUGAUGUUUGCGAUCCUUGAUUUUCAUAAAGGGACAUAAAAAAUUCAAACUCCACAGGGAGGUUGACAGGAGAGUUUGAAAAGAAAUUUUUUGAAUAGGUAAAAGAUCAACGUCUCAUAGACAGUUAUAUUCAUCAAAUGAAUAGAGCAAGUUAUAGGUAAAUGAACACAGGCAUGGGCAUAUCUUUUACUGGUUAAAAAUGUUGGUUUUAAUUGAUUGAUUAUGUAGUGAGACCUUAGUCCUUGACAUGUAAUGGCGAUAAGUAUCUUGUUAACUGAGUAUUUUGUUGUUUAACAUGCUAGUAUUGUAUAAUUAACUUUUUUUUUCUUUCUUUGAAAACAUACAUGGCACAGAACUAUGGACAGUAUCGCCAUACUCUAUGGUAGAGGAAGACUGAAAUAUUUCUUGGGCAAUCCUAACACGAUACUCGACAUGGUAACAUCUGAUCAUCUCGACAAGCGUUAACCACCAUCCAAAUGCCAUGAUUAUAAGCAUCCUAAAUUUUGCAUUUGCUUAAUUGAUUAUGUACUCCUUUGUGAAUUGGCCUGUGAUAAUUGAUUUGGCAAAAUAUUUAUAAUUAUAGAUUCCAACCAUCACUUUAUUGUGCACAUUUGAAAGCACUUAAAGACAUACAUUUAUUCAUAUACAUGUGCAUUCGAUGCCUUUAAACCUAAAUAUGAAAUUUCAUCUUGAGUAGAUACCAGCAGAUAUGGUGGUAAAUGCUAUGAUUGUGGCCAUGGCGGUGCAUGCUAAUCAGCCCAAUUCAAACAAGAUUUACCAAGUGGGUUCCUCAAAGAAACAUCCUAUGUCCUAUUCAGAUCUUCGACGCAUCAUUGUGAGUUACUUCAAGGACAGUCCUUGGAUCAACGAGGAUGGGAAGCCGGUCAAAGUUCGUCAGCUUAGAACUAUGGGAAGCACGGCCAGCUUUCACAAGCACAUGAGACGUUACAUUCUCUUGUCAAAGGUAAGUUCAAAAUAACUUAAAAAGUGAAGAUCAAAUGGUCACUAAAAGUUGUCACGGACCCCUUAUUGGUUCCACAAGUGUUUGUAUCCUUCUUCACAGACCUUCUUUCACCUCAUGGGGUGCUGUCUAAGCCUUCACUUCAAGAGGUUUCUAUGUUUAUUCGGAGGCCUCUUUCGGAUGCUCAGGUGUGCUCUCUUUCUGCCCCAGUUUCUGAUGAUGAGAUAAAGAACACUCUUUUCUCCCUUCCCAAAGGCAAAGCCCCGGGUCCGGAUGGUUAUAUAGCUGAGUUCUUUAAGAACAACUGGGAUAUUGUGGGGUCUUCAGUUUUGGAAGCGAUCAAAGACUUCUUCUCUUCUGGUUAUCUUCUCAAAGAGGUAAAUAACACUAUCUUGGCUAUAGUGCCAAAAAUCCCCAACGCUUGUGCUGUUACUGACUUCAGGCCCAUUGCGUGUUGCAACACGAUUUAUAAGGUUAUUACGAAAAUCCUUGCUAAUCGCCUAGCUACUGUUUUGAAUGACCUCAUAAGCCCGUCGCAGAAUGCAUUUGUGAAGGGUAGAAGAAUCAGAGAUAACAUUCUCUUGGCUCAAGAGUUGUUUGCAGGUUUCCAUUUAGAACCUUAUCUCCCAAAAUGUGCCAUUAAGGUUGAUUUCCAAAAGGCGUACGACACGGUUGACUAGGACUUCUUGGAGCUCACUCUCUCGGCUUUUCGCUUUCCAGAUUGGAUUAUUCGUCUGAUCAUGGUCUGUGUUCGCACUCCUAAGUACUCCAUCUCUAUUAAUGGUGAAUUGCAUGGGUUUUUCCAAGGCGGCCGUGGCAUCCGCCAAGGAGAUCCUAUGUCUCCUUACUUGUUUACUUUAGUUAUGGAGGUAUUUUCGGGAAUUUUGAACUCGCAAACAGCUGCCAAAGAUUAUAAGUAUUUUUGGAGGUGUAAAGCUGUGAAGCUGUCUCACUUGUUUUUUGCAGAUGAUGUGUUCCUUUUUUGUCAGGCAGACUGACCUUCUGUGGUAAUGCUUAAAAGGGGUUUGGAUACUUUCUCCUCCUGGAGCGGGCUUCUUCCGAACAAGAACAAGAGCGAGAUCUUUCUCUCGGGCGGGCCUUUAUCCCUGCGAAACACAAUUUUGUUGACAUUUGGCUUUCAAGAAGGGAAACUCCCGGUCCGCUAUCUGGGUGUACCUAUAAUUUCUUCUAGACUGCGCAAAGCAGACUGCAUCGUCUUGAUAGAUCGCAUAACUGCUAGGGUCCAAUCUUGGGCUCAACGUUUUCUAUCCUUUGCAGGUAGGCUUUAGCUCAUAAGGUUAGUUCUACACUCCAUACAAGCCUUUUGGGCUAGUGUCUUCUCCUUGCCUUCCUCGGUUCUAAUGACCAUUGAGCGCAUCUUGAGACAAUUCCUAUGGAAGGGCACUACCCUGGGCCGGGGGGGUGCUAAGGUAUCUUGGGAUGACGUUUGUCUUCCCAAAGAAGAAGGUGGUUUAGCCAUUCGAAAACUGAAGGAUUGCAACAAAGCUUCAAUGCUUAAGUAUAUUUGGAUACUCUUUACCGAUAAAGAAUCCUUGUGAUGCCGGUGGGUGCAUUCAAAUUUCUUAAAGAAAGUGAAUUUUUGGAUUUCUUCCUGCCCCUCUCUUUGUUCUUGGGCGUGGAAGAAAAUACUACAACUCAGAAGGUUUUUUCAGCUCUCCUUCUUUUGGAAAAUCGGUAAUGGGCUUUCGGUUUCUCUUUGGCAUGACCAUUGGCUUCCUUGUGGCCCCUUGGACACUUUUAUUCCGACCUCUAUUAUGGACAGUAUAAAUCUCCCUAACAAUGCGGAUGUGGCGGACUUGUUUUCUCUUGCAGGAUACACGCUAAAAUCUCUUCUCCAUAGUUGGGGCAUUGUCCUCCCAAAUUUAUCCUUGGCUCCUUAUCAAUUCUCUUGGCGGUGUGAUCCAACUGGUUUGUUCUCGGUUUCUUCUGCUUGGAGCACCAUUAGAGCGAAAAGAGACUGUGUUCCAUGGGCUUCUCUAGUCUGGGAUAGUGCCAUAGCUCCUCAGUACCAGUUCCUUCUUUGGCUUAUUACUAAAAAUCGCCUUCCCACUCAAAUGCUCCUUCUCUCUUAUGGUAGAAUUGAUUACACGGUAUGUGCUUUUUGCAAUGCCCAACCAGAUUCAAUUGACCACCUUUUCUUUGAAUGUCACAACUCCGCUACGCUUGCAUACUUCUGGGCUUCUAGGUGUAACCUUCCUUGGAGGAGUAGAACUUGGAUGGAUACCAUCUCUUGGGCGCUUAAGUUCUUAGCCGGAAAGGACUUUUAUCACAGUAUUGCACGGUUCUCUUUUGCAGCUAUGUGCUAUAUGAUCUGGAAAAAGAGGAAUUGCAUCAUUUUCCACGGAGAAUCCUUCGCUAUCUCGGAUUUAAAGAAUCACCUUAUUAAGGCGGUCAAGGACCGAGCUCUUACCUUCAGAAAUGUUCCUACGUCUCCAAAGAACAAGAGACUCCAGAAAGGUUGGGGUUUUGACCCUUCGGUUUUUGCUCAGUCGCCUGGUUCGUCCUAAGCGUCUAGUCUGUGCCUUGUUUUGCUUUCUAGCCUUCUCUUAGGCUCUCUGUUCUUCGACCCUUUCCCUUUUGUAUUUCUGAGGGUUGCUGGGUUUGUUGCUUGGCGCUUGGCCUUUGGUUUGGGCUGUUUAGCUUUGGUUCUCUUGCUUUGUGCCUGUUUGGCUUGUUACUUGGCUCCCUUUCACUCUUUCUGCUGUUGCAGUUAGAGUGGAAGUUUUUGGUGCCAAUUUUGUAUAAUGUUCCAAAGCUCUAUUAUAAUUUCUUACCUUUUACCAAAAAAAAAAAAUGGUCACUAAAAGUUAAUUCAAUAAGUUGAAAUAUGGAGAAAAUUGAAGAUUCCAAAUAUCUGAAAAUCUUUAUGUUAUAUGAAUUUUAGGUAGUCAAGUCAACAUAUUUCUUUCUUUAUCGAUAUAAGUGAUAAUAAUCUAGAAAUUUAUAAACAUAUCUUCAAAUAAUUAGCUAAUUUGUUGGAAGUGACAGUUUCUUUUAAUAUGUUUCAACAUUUACCACUCUGAUUUUUUGACUUCCGUUAAACGGGAAAUGGCUGAAACCUUUAGAAAUACGUAAAUAUAAACACAUAAAACUUGAACUAUUAUGAAAAAUUUAAAGUUUGAAAAAUACUUUACAUUCCAGCAAUAAUGCAUAAGUUUUUGCUUUAUAAAUUCAAAGCAUUGGAGCCCUAACAUAAGACAAAAAUAAAAGAAAAAAGAGCUACUGAUGAAAGCCGAAAAUUCAUAGUCAAAAGUCACAGCCACGAAAAAAGAUGGAAACAUGUGCUUUGUUUAAACCCUAGGCUCUUGUGUUACAUAAGAAUCUAAUGGGCACUUUAUUGAAUUAAUUGACAUGCAUAUUCCAUGAUAUGAAGAAAAUGGGAAAAGCAUCCUUAAUUUUUGUUUGACACAUGAAAUUUGAGGAUGUGUUAUCUUUAAAAAUAAUUAUUCCAUGAAUAAUGUUUUUGUUAUCAACGGCAAUUUAUAUCCAAAUAUUUUCAUGGAUAAUGAAAACAUUUUUUAUUCAUUUAUUUUUGUAAACGAUAUCAAUUAUUAUUUUAGAUUUGUUUUUAUAUUAUUUAUUUUUUCGCAAAACAAUCUGAGCUAGUUCUGUAUUAUUCUGAAUGAAGGCGUUGAAAGUUGCUAGCUCAGCGUUUGGCGGGUGUUUCCAAGGCUUGCAUGCUGACUUGGACAAAAAGGUCAACACUGCCCUGCGAUUGGCUGACCUCUACGAACCUUAUAUAUUCUUCAAUGGGGUGUAAGCUUCUAAGCUUCUAUGCAUUGGCCAAUAUGCGUGCAGAGUGCAUUAAUUAAUCACCUCCUUCCCCUUAUAUACAAAUCUCUGUUCAAUUAUUUAACUAUUAAAUCACUUUUUAAAUUAUAACUUUUGAAACAACCAAUUGUGAUCUUACAAAUUUAAUAUAGAAGUCUUGGGUUUAUACUUUUAUAAGCCUAAAUUUGCCUAUCCUAUUAUAUAUUUCCAUGCCUUAAAGCUUACACGUGAGGAAAGAGUAUCAUAAUGAUUAAAUAUUACCGUGAAGUCACCUCCUAGCUUAAAAUUUUAAAAUAGUCGAUAGUUAUCUACAAAAUUAUAUAAUCUCUGAUUCUUUUUUUUUUUAUUGACUUAGCUUUGACGAUACAAAUAUGAUGGCUUUGAGAGCCACGGCCUUUGACAAUGGAGUAAACCUGGAAAGUGUCUUCUGCUUUGAUCCGGGGUGUAUCAAUUGGGAUGACUAUUUCAAGAAAACUCAUUUGCCCACAGUUGUCAAAACCUUCAAGCGCAAGUGAGAAAUGAUGCAAUUAAUAAAUAGUUUGGGACAUGCAAUAGUUGGCAUUAUGAACUCCACCUGUUUUGACCCAAAAAAUAAAAUAAAAUAGAGAGAGAGAACUCCACAUGUUCUAUUGUAUCGUAUGUGGAAAUAAAUAAGGUGUUGUAACACAAACAUCUGUUGCUAUUUUCGGUGUCAUGUUAGUUUGAAGUGGCAAUUAUAUUAGAAUAAUACAUGUACGAUCUGUAUUCUACCUCAUUUGUAACACCUCAAAUAUUGCAAAUUGGAGGUUGCUAGAUAAAUAGCAAUCCGGUUACUAGAAUCUUCCCAAAUUCUUGGUUCAUGUGACACAUAGUAUUUGAUAUGAUAAUGUCUCGACCUUCCCAAAGGUGAAUCACCAAAGAGAAAGCUAAUAGACUACUAAACAGGAGUGAAGAUUCCUCUCAUGAGGUAAUCAUUCACGUAUAGCACACUCUUUCAGGCCCUACCAAUUACAACUUGGUGUUUAAUUUAACAUGCAAUUUUCUUACCUUUUGGAGCCAUUGCUAAUCAAUUAGAUUAGACACUCAAAUAAAAUGUGAAAGUACAUUUACUUCUACGAACAAGAGAUUCAAUGGAUUUGGGGACUUGAUUAUGCUUGAUUAAUAUAAUGCCAUUUCAAUACCAGUUUUCUUUAUUUUCAAAUGAAUAUUUUGCAAGCAGUCUUAAUUGAUUUUAAGUAAAGCCACUAACACGCAAGAAGUGAUCAUGUGUGUUGACACCUAAAUUUUGUUUAACCAUUCAUAAUUAAUUGUAUACAAAAUUAAGGGCUAACCUUUAGUCCCUAAACAACAAUAUUAAAAUUAAAUUGCAUAUCAUUAAGUUUUAAAGAGCAUAUGUUAAUUGCAUUUAAAUGGGACCAUCGGUGAUGAAUGGGCCUGAAUUAGUCACGUGGUAGGGGCCCACAAUAAGUGAAAUUCGGCCUAGGCUAGGAGUGUUAGUGGCCGAAAUUAUAGGAGGAAAAGGAAGGGUCUUGAGCUUUAAUUGAACUGGUUUAGCCCAUUAAAAUUAAAAGGCUUUGAGCUUAAUUAGAUAAAGGCCCUGGGGAUGAAGCGUAAUCCAAUCAAAUAUUUGAGUGGUAAUGCAUGUUUCUUAAGAUACCAAAAAUACCCGUUAAAUUAGGAAAUUUUCAUCAUUUAACAAUGUGCAUAUGGAUCGCAAUUUGAUCUCAACCACUGAGAUGAUCCCAUUUGCAUGGAAAAUCUUCUAUUAUAUCCAUUACCACUUGGAUACGAUCGUUCAUUUUAUUCAUUACCAAAUUUGAAUAGAGUGGAUGUGUUUUGGAUGAUUUGGUGAGUUUUUCUUGCUCUCUCUCUCUCUCUGUUUUUUUUUUUUUUUUGUUGAUUUGAGUUAAUUUCUUUUCGCCCCCAAUCUCGUGUCCCCCUCUGCUUCCCUCCUUUUCUGGCCAUUAGGCUGCAUGCCUACAGGCACUUGUUGUCACGCAGACACGCCCAAACAUUUUAGUUAGCAUCUUGUCUGCGUGUAUUUAAUGAUGUGUCUAUAACAGUUCUAGCAUGGACAAAAACUCGAUAGAAGAACUUAGGGAGGCUUCAGCUACUGAAGCUGAGGCGGCUAACGCUGUCUGGCAAGCUGUUCAAUCGGCAUCUUCUGUCCCUGCAGAAGAAACAUCAGUAUCAGAUGAAAACUCUCCAGCAACUGAAACUGCUUCAGAUGGUAGUGACACUGAGGGAGACGUUUGUCAUGGUCUGUGAAAUUAUGUCACGGUCUCACAUCAAAGGGUGUUUUAGUCUCUGUUCUUUGUGCUUACAUUGUUGUCCUAUAGGUGGUCGUUGCUAAGGAGGCCGUAGGUAACCUUGGUGGAAUGGUAAGACAGCUAUCACUGGAUCCAUUUGAAAAUGAGAGCAGACUGAUGGUUCUGAUGAAUAAUGAGCUGUCAUAUCCUACAAAAAAGUUCACCAGACAUAAAUCUCCUCAAGGCUUGCAUAAGAAGGUGAGUGUUAAAGAAGUCUAUACCAUCAUCCUCAUUCGAACUUUUGCCAGGCUUAAUUACCUCUUUUCUUUUCAGAUUAUAUCCACUUUGCUUCAGCCUGGAAAUUGGAAAGCUCCGGCUAAUAGGAGGUUUUUCCUGGAUUCUUACAAAGUUGGGGAGCUCUGUUAUGCUGCAGAACAGCUUUUCAUGCAUGAGCCAACAGUUCUUCAGUUAAAAGCUCCAGUUAAAGAAUUCGGUGACCUACAUGGUCAAUUUGGCGAUCUCAUGCGUUUGUUCGAUGAAUAUGGUUUUCCUUCCACUACAGGAGAUAUAACUUAUGUUUGAUAUGGUUUUAAUCAUUUCUUCUAAGUUCUAUACUUGUAGUAAAUGUCCUAUGCAUGCUGGUCUUUGCUGAGAAACAGCAUGACACAGGAGAGAAAAUCCAAGUGCCUAAGUUUAAAAACAGUACCGGAUUGAUAACUGCAAUAUGCACUGGAGCUGAUGGUGGCUGCAUCAUAGUCAUAAUAUACUUUGCUCGAAGUUUCACAACGUUAAGGUGAUUAUGUAUAAGUUUUGUUAAGAAAUUCUAUCAAAAGUUUAAACCGUAGACUACUGUUAUGAUUUCGGUUUAUUCAAAGGAAGGCUUGGAAAUCUCGAACCUGGCAUUCCCUACUAUUGUGAGGUGCACUUUAAGGUGGUGACUUUUGUUCAUGUUGCUUAAAGGGCCACACAUUUUCUGAAUCUCCGAUAAUGGUAAAAUUUAGUGAAUUGAUUCUUCUGGGAGGAAGUUUUCCCAAUAUUGUAUUUUUUUUUUUGGGGGGGGGGGGGGGGGGUAUGUGAAAAUGAAACUUAAAUGUCUAUGCAUUGACACAGCUAUAUUGAGUAUUUGUUUUUGGGAGAUUACAUUGAUCGGGGGCAGCACAGUUUGGAGACUAUAACUUUGCUUCUUGCUCUAAGGCACGUUUCUACUAUGAAAGAGAUGAUUAUAUAUGCAAAUGCAAUGCGAUGUUUAUGUUGUUUUACCAACUGGGCUGUGGUUACCUUUUUGUAGAUUGAAUACCCAGAAAAUGUUCACUUGAUACAAGGAAACCACGAGGCAGCUGACAUAAAUGCACUCUUCGGUUUUCGUCUUGAAUGCAUUGAGCGAAUGGUGAGUGCAGAUGUUCAGUUAUUUGUUCUCUUUUCCAAGGCAUGUUAUCUCAAUUUGCCUUUGGAUAGGGAGAGAAUGAUGGGAUAUGAGCAUGGACACGUUUUGAUCAACUUUUCAACUAUCUUCCGCUUGCUGCUCUCAUAGAGAAAAAGACAGGGAAAAUGUUACAAAUGGUCCAUGAACUUUCAUCUAAUAUUCAAUUUCAUUUCUGAGCUUUUGAUUUGCUCAAUUUGAUCACUUUCAUCUAAUGUUCAAUUUCAUCACUGAGUUUUUGAUUUGCUCAAUUUAAUUCCUGAACUUUCAUCUAAUAUUUCAUCUAAUCUCUAACUAUUUGAAAAUUGACCAAUCCCCCCCUUUUUUUAAUACGAAACUGUUUUUUUUUUAUAAAUAAAAAAAAAUACCAAACUGGUUUUUUUUUUUGUCGAAAAAAUACCACAUUUAUGCAAAGUAAUAAAGGUCAAUAUUUCUUUCCUUUCUCCAUAUUAAAAACAAAUGGGGAAAGGGAUAAUAAUAAUCAACAAAGGUGAAUCUUGCAUUUUUUUUUUUUUUGUAUAAAGGGAACCUCCGUGCGCCGCUUUGCGGCAGAGUAAACCCUGGAGGAGCAGUAGAAUCACCACUAUCCUUGCUGUCUCAGGUAAGUCCUGGGUUCUUUUCUCGGUUUCGAACUUAGGACCUCUCUCGAAAGGAACCUACGCACAACCACUACGCCGCCACCACGGGUGGUUUUGAUUUUUUUUUUUUGUAUAUGCAAAUUACUUGAAUAAUGUACAAAAGCCCAUAAAUUGAUUUUUCCCUUUUUGGUGAAGUCCAUAAAAAGAAUCGAUUUAUGGGCUUUUGUACAUUAUUCAAGUAAUUUGCACGCGGUGUCUACUGUGGAAUAUGAUAGUUGGGCUUGUUUGUUGCAUAGGUGUAUACAUAGUUUGUUUUUUUUUUUUUGGUCGAAGUAUACAUAGUUUGAGAGGUAGCAAAUUUUAGCAGUUAUUUGUGAGCGUCUCUCUUUUCUUCCCCACCCUCUUUUUUCCCUCCCGCAUUGAGAUUACUACAUGUACAUGUAUAUUAAGUCUUUGUAAGAGAUGAGGAAGAUGAAGUUGAAUACAGGGUUAGUCGUGCCAGUGGUAUUUAUUAAUGUAAUGUAAAUUUUUCUCUGAUUUUUGAUUAUUUAAUGCUAAAAUCAUAUCUUUUGCGAAAUUUAGUUUGGAUCAUUGGAAAUUUCGAGUGGCACAGAUUUGUCAGAUUCUUGCAAGGGGCAACAACUCCCACAAAGCUCUUAACGCUUUGUCCAUUUGUAUAUCAUUAUUACUGUCGUUUGAGCUCGCGUCACAGGAUUAAAUCAGUUGGUAGUUGUUCUCCUUUUUCUUCUCCCCCUCUUGCUCCUCAAUUGUUGGUUCUUCUGACAAAUUUAAAGCAAGAUUUUUUUUUUUCGAGGGAUAGAAAAUUGUUAAUACUUCUUGAUUAUUAUUGAGGGAAAUUACAAAUUCGGUGUAUUUUCCUUCCCAAUUUUCUUCACCCUUGCUCCCAAACACAGCCCAAGAGCUAAGCAUCUCGAAAUGAUCCAUGUGAUCUUUAAGAAAAUAAUUGGACGAAAAAAGCAAUAGGAUAGUCAAAGAUACUCUUACAUACGUUAAUGGGAUUGGCCCGUAGUUGAAGAAAAUGUAUCUAAUUCCACCAAAAUAUUGCAAUGCACUUCAAAUAGUCCUGAGGUCGAUUGCACCUAUUAGUAGUAGUUUGAUUUCAUAGGCAUAAUAUGUUUGAAGCGGAAACACGAUUGCACUUAUAAUUAGUAAUCUGCAUUGAUGGAUGGUAAUUUGACCACAGAGUUUGUACUAAGAAAAUGUUAACAGUUAGUAAUUAAUUAAUGGAACAGUAAAAUAUAUCAAAUUGUCAUCAGUGACGCCUCUUAUACUUAGUAAUUGUCCUGAACUAUAUAUAUAUUUAGAGAAAACUAUGGGAGCAAAACUCAUUCUUUUGGUCAACAAGCAGAACUCGAUCAUUGGAAUUGAGAAGUAUCAUUUCACAGAUGACAAUCGGAAUCCAAACUUCCAAGUCUCCCACGAAGAUAGGGCCAAAUUAUUGCAGCACUCUAUGCAGCAGAAAGUUAGUACCGCCAAAUGUGUACCUAUGAUACCACCCUGCUGUCCCAGCCAGUUUGCUAUGAAAUGAAGCAUGCGAGUUUGUGCCAAUGAAAUGGGCGUAAUCAUCAUAAUGCUUUAUGUGACAUCCCAAAUUUUCAACCCUAUCUUCUACUGAAUAAAUCGGGCAUUUCAUUGACGCGUCUAUAGGGUUAUUCUCAGAGCCGAUCACUCUCGAGAUAACUAGACUAUCUGGGAAAAUUAUUAAGGAAUUUUAAGGCAAUAGACUUGAGAACUCGAUCAAGAAUCGGCUUCUCGACCGUGUCCAUCUUUAGAGGCCAUUACGGCACAGUUAAAAAUCGAUUUGAAAUCAGAGAUAGACUGAAUCGACAGAGAUGUGUGGCUAAUCGUGGGUGACACCAUUAAAUUAGAAAAUUCUCGUCGGCCGACACUAGACUGAUUUUCUUAUUGUUUUGGUAUCAUGUGUUCGUAAUUGAAUCAUCGAGAUUUUCACGACAAUCAAGAGUCGCCAUUGAGUCGAGUGGGUUCAUAGUGGCUCGAAGAAAAUCGACCACGGGUCAUUUGCCUUAAAAAGUUCUGAAAACUACCCGAUAGUCUAGGUCACGCUAAAAACGCGCCGAAUGAAAAUUAACCGCCAAUUCGAUUCCGAUUUUAGAAAUUGAAGUUUUGGCCAUGUCACAAUAAAUUUUAGGAGCAUCGACUCAGUCUCAGAAGAUUUUUCUGACAACUGACACUUUUUGGGAAAAAGUCGUCGCCGGGUUGUUUUAGUGCAGAAAAUGCCGGAAAUGGUUUUCAGUUGCAAAAUUGAGAUGCAUGUUGGAUGCAUGGGUGAAGAAAAAUAAUGAGUGAAACAUUGAGGCGUCGAUUGAUUUUUUUUGAAGCCAAAUGAGGAUGAAUUGAGAUUUUUCAAGUGUCCAAUUGAGAGGAGAUGAUGCCAAUUUCGUAAUCCCCUCCCCCUAGCCCAAAAUUGAUCAAUUGAGAAGUUGUGAGAGUUGUUGGUGUGGCCUAAUGAAGGCCAAGGGUUAAUGCUUGGCCUAGAUUGAUUGUUGAAGAUAUUUCUUGUGGAAAAUUGGCAAGGAUGGCCCACCCUCUCUCUUAUCUUCUUCCUCACGCACGGCUCCUCUUCAUUUUAACUCUGCGGUCUCAGCUUCUGCUUUAUUUCUUUCGGUCGAAGUCCAGCCCAGCAAAGCCUCCUCCGCGUGUCUUCCUCAACUCCACGAACGCCCUGCUUCACUAGCUCUUGUCGCCCACCAACAAUCCGCACGCCUGUGUCCCUCCUGCUUUGGCCUCGUAUACAGCAACUGGUCAUCAAUUUCUCCACGAAGACCCAAGCUACUGAAGCGUUGAAGAAACCCUGCAACGCCAACGAAGAUCCCUGCAGCAGUUUCACCGAAUUCUCCCUGCCAGCAAAGCCCAUUUUCGUUUGUCUUUGUUUCCACCGAAGCUGAUCCUGCCGAGCUUGCUGCCACUUGGCCGUGUGUACGUCUGGUUCGGUCAACAACAGCUUCAAUUGAAGCUCUCGGUUGACCGCUUGAAGCCCACGAUUCCACCGAGUUGGUCGGCCACUCACGCCACACCAACAGAGAAGCCGCAGGAACGGAGGCAGUCAACCAUGCCAUCCACCGAAGACCAAGACUCCCUCACGCUGCCAGGCGUCCGCCAUCGUCCACGAGCGGCUUCCGUCUUCAGUCUUCUCCAGCGGCGUGCCCUCAGCCCUCACGAAAUUGUCGAGGCCCAUCUCACCAGCAACGGCCCAGCGAAGCCAGCGAAAUCUGCAAGCUUCAGUCAGUCCAAAUUCAGCCCUGCAGAAAUUCAAGUCAGCGACUCCUUCGCUGGAUUCCUCUUGCGGGCAGCCCAGCAGCUCAAUUGAGGCCCAAGUGAAUUCACAAGCCCAGUUUUUGAGGCCCAAAAAUCCAGCAACUCCAUUAAGCCCAAUAGCAGCUAGACCCAAGUCCAAGAGCAAGCCCAUUCCAGUGCAAGGACAAAUCUCAAUUGGGCUGAGAUUUGUUGGGUCAAGCUUAAGGCCCGGUCCAAGCCCGCCGGUGUUGUCGAAAGUCCAAUUUCGGCCACCGUCGCGUCGCCGUUGCGGUGAUUCGAUCUCCGCUGUUAUCAAGUGAGUUUUACUCACUAAAGCUUUCUUAGUUUGCUAAUUAUACUUAAGGUUGGUUAGAUUUAAUUAAAUGCAAUUAGAUGGUUAGAUUAGUUUAGAUCAAUUAAAUUAGAGACUUAAUGAUGCAUGUUAGGUGGUUAGAAAUAGACAUUAGCAAGUAGACAUGCCAUGUUAUUUAUGGAAUGAGUCUCGGUAAUUUUCCGGGCUUGUCUCGGUAUCCAAUUUGGCAUUAUGAGCCUAAAUUGGAUUUUUUUAAUUAUUUAUUUAAUUUUCGAAAUUAAUUAAUUAAUUAUUUAUUUUUUUCCGGAAAUUCAACUGGGAUGGCCGGUGACCGGAAUUUCGUGCUGAUUGUUGUGGUGCAGUCCGUUUUUUUAUUUGAGCUUUAUUUGGUGCUAAAGUAAUUUAGGAGUGAAUUUAAGAUUUAUUCCUAAGCUAGAUCUUGAGAGGGUCGGGUGGGAUCGAAAAGCCACUAGAUCUUGAGAGGGUCGGGUGGGACCGAAAAGCCACUAGAUCUUGAGAGGGUCGGGUGGGAUCGAAAAGCCACUAGAUCUUGAGAGGGUCGGGUGGGACCGAAAAGUCACUAGUUCUUGAGAGGGUCGGGUGGGACCGAAAAGCCACUAGAUCUUGAGAGGGUCGGGUGGGACCGUAAAGCCACUAAAUCUAAGGAAUUGCUUGAAGUAGGAUGAACGACCUAGAAAGGGUCCGCCUGACAUGGAAUCGACUAGGUCGAUUUGAUCGAUGCUUCGAUCGGUGAUGUGAUUGUUUGAAUGCCUAUUGAACUGUACUAAUAUGCAGAUGGAAUCUGAGGCCAAGGUAAGUCCUCCAACUCGUGUCGUGUUUAGGCAGCCUAUAGUGUAUUGGCUUUCUAAUCGAGUCUUAGGGGGUAGGACUCGCUGAGACGUGGUCUCAUUGGUUAUUGAAUAACUAUUUCAGGACCCUAAGAAGAAACUGAGGAGGAGGAACCUAAAGAGAAGAAAGACUUUUGAAGAAGAAGAUGAUCCAAAGAGGGAUCUUGAGUAUAACCCGGAUGUGGACUGAGAUCCCAUCCCUUUUUGUAAACCCUGUCUUAGCAUAGAUAGGUGUGAGACAAGUAUGUUGUAAAUAGUAUUGUAAAUACUCUAUGAGUUGCGCUGUUAAGGAAAGUGUGGUUGUGAAUUUCAAUAUGAAGAAUAUGGCCUGCAUUCCUAUCCCAUUGUUUUAUUGUCUGGGGAUUUAUAACUGCUUCCGCAUGUGCUUAAUAAAAAGAAAGGGUCGGCGAUACAUAGUCCUGGGAUAUCGCAUUCUAAAAUCGACCAAGUAGAAGGAUGUGCGCGCGUCCGAGGAUCUGCGCGUGACACUUUAACUCAAUGAGGCUUUGAAAUGCAUUGUGAGGUUGGACUAGGCUACAGUCAACGUUUAGGAUUUUCUUUUUUUUUGCAAGAGAUAAGACAUAUUUUCAGCCCGCAUUACCUGUAUUUCAAUGCAUCCAUCACCUAUUGUGCAACAUAUUUGACUCAUGAAAAAGAAGGCAGAUGAACAAGGUUAUGCCUGGACGGAAGUCACCAUUACAAACAGAAAGACUUAGUUUUUUGCACAACUUGGCAUUCUUAAUAGUAGGAUCCUUCAAAUGCAAGGUUAUAGAAGCAGUGAUGAAAGGCUUCUCAACAGUCAUGAAAUCAAUAUAAUGACCUUCACAAACUUGCAGGAACAAAACUCCAACGUAAAUUGAGUGCUUUUCCGAAACAAAAACAAACCCAAAAGCAAGGCUUCUUUUGCUUUUGGUCAAGAAAAAACUGUACACCCUACAUAUGCUUGUCUAUUUGUUGCAACCAGUAACAGCAGCAUACAAAACAAAUUCACCAUCAAAGCAUCGGAGGGAAAAUACGUGAGUAAGGAGAUAUAACAGCUUCCUGUACGUACUUUUUAGAAUUGUUUGGAUCGGGAACCCACUGCAUCUCACUUAUGUUGCGAGUCUCGACAUAAGUCAUGGUGAAUUCGCCCGCCUUCUCGAUGUUCCCUCUCUUCCCUGCUCUCAACAGAAGAUGGUUCCGGUUGUAAGAGAAAAUCCCAUUGGUCAAACGGAUGAUAUCCCCGGGCUUGAACAGGUCGCACUCCUCACCCCAGAACUGAAAAUGCACGGCCGCAGUCUCAUGUGCCACAAGUGCCUAGCAUGUCUUGCUCUGUCUUUCUGUGGGAACCCUGCCUUUGUCCAGUAGAAUGAAUUGUGUGGUUAUGUUGUUCUGUGCUGCAGGUGAUAUGUCUUUGAUAGAGAGCAUACUGGUGUAACCAGAUACAGAGUCACUGAAACUAUAUGACCAAGAAGUUAAAAGAAAACUACAAUACGAAGGCAACCUUAUAAUACUCACUUUGGAAUGAACUUGUCAUAAGCACAAACUAGGGAGUUCUAGGCAAUAAAGAUGAGUUUUAGUUCUGGAAGAACAGAACAACAAACUAUUUCAAACGACCAGAAACGUGGUCGGCCGUGCCUCCGAAACACCGCCUGGCCCCGAUCUGAACAGAGGAG